GCCUUAGUAGUAUAAAAAUUACAUUGGUCUUGUAAGCCAAAAACGAAGAACUACUCUUCCUAAGACA
Molecule: transfer RNA, 67 nt
Filed under: Proechimys goeldii
Lineage: Eukaryota; Metazoa; Chordata; Mammalia; Rodentia; Echimyidae
Description: tRNA-Thr
Rfam family: tRNA
About the family: Transfer RNA (tRNA) molecules are approximately 80 nucleotides in length. Their secondary structure includes four short double-helical elements and three loops (D, anti-codon, and T loops).
Source: RNAcentral